UGCAUAUCCCAAAAGCGGAGGAAAAGAAACCAACCGGGAUUGCCUUAGUAACGGCGAGUGAAGCGGCAAAAGCUCAAAUUUGAAAUCUGGCGUCUUCGACGUCCGAGUUGUAAUUUGAAGAAGGCGACUUUGUAGCUGGUCCUUGUCUAUGUUCCUUGGAACAGGACGUCAUAGAGGGUGAGAAUCCCGUGUGGCGAGGAUCCCAGUUAUUUGUAAAGUGCUUUCGACGAGUCGAGUUGUUUGGGAAUGCAGCUCUAAGUGGGUGGUAAAUUCCAUCUAAAGCUAAAUAUUGGCGAGAGACCGAUAGCGAACAAGUACAGUGAUGGAAAGAUGAAAAGAACUUUGAAAAGAGAGUGAAAAAGUACGUGAAAUUGUUGAAAGGGAAGGGCAUUUGAUCAGACAUGGCGUUUGCUUCGGCUUUCGCUGGGCCAGCAUCAGUUUUAGCGGUUGGAUAAAUCCUCGGGAAUGUGGCUCUGCUUCGGUAGAGUGUUAUAGCCCGUGGGAAUACAGCCAGCUGGGACUGAGGAUUGCGACUUUUGUCAAGGAUGCUGGCGUAAUGGUCUAAAUGCCGCCCGUCUUGAACCCACGGACC
RNAcentral lists this ribosomal RNA (592 nucleotides) under Kluyveromyces marxianus. RNAcentral describes it as "partial large subunit ribosomal RNA". It matches the Rfam family "Eukaryotic large subunit ribosomal RNA", at positions 37 to 667 of the family's 3401-position model. Lineage: Eukaryota; Fungi; Ascomycota; Saccharomycetes; Saccharomycetales; Saccharomycetaceae. RNAcentral also lists the same sequence under 1 other name. The record is from RNAcentral.